UUAAGCGACUAAGCGUACACGGUGGAUGCCCUGGCAGUCAGAGGCGAUGAAGGACGUGCUAAUCUGCGAUAAGCGUCGGUAAGGUGAUAUGAACCGUUAUAACCGGCGAUUUCCGAAUGGGGAAACCCAGUGUGAUUCGUCACACUAUCAUUAACUGAAUCCAUAGGUUAAUGAGGCGAACCGGGGGAACUGAAACAUCUAAGUACCCCGAGGAAAAGAAAUCAACCGAGAUUCCCCCAGUAGCGGCGAGCGAACGGGGAGCAGCCCAGAGCCUGAAUCAGUAUGUGUGUUAGUGGAAGCGUCUGGAAAGGCGCGCGAUACAGGGUGACAGCCCCGUACACAAAAAUGCACAUGCUGUGAGCUCGAUGAGUAGGGCGGGACACGUGGUAUCCUGUCUGAAUAUGGGGGGACCAUCCUCCAAGGCUAAAUACUCCUGACUGACCGAUAGUGAACCAGUACCGUGAGGGAAAGGCGAAAAGAACCCCGGCGAGGGGAGUGAAAAAGAACCUGAAACCGUGUACGUACAAGCAGUGGGAGCACAGAGCAAUCUGUGUGACUGCGUACCUUUUGUAUAAUGGGUCAGCGACUUAUAUUCUGUAGCAAGGUUAACCGAAUAGGGGAGCCGAAGGGAAACCGAGUCUUAACUGGGCGUUAAGUUGCAGGGUAUAGACCCGAAACCCGGUGAUCUAGCCAUGGGCAGGUUGAAGGUUGGGUAACACUAACUGGAGGACCGAACCGACUAAUGUUGAAAAAUUAGCGGAUGACUUGUGGCUGGGGGUGAAAGGCCAAUCAAACCGGGAGAUAGCUGGUUCUCCCCGAAAGCUAUUUAGGUAGCGCCUCGUGAAUUCAUCUCCGGGGGUAGAGCACUGUUUCGGCAAGGGGGUCAUCCCGACUUACCAACCCGAUGCAAACUGCGAAUACCGGAGAAUGUUAUCACGGGAGACACACGGCGGGUGCUAACGUCCGUCGUGAAGAGGGAAACAACCCAGACCGCCAGCUAAGGUCCCAAAGUCAUGGUUAAGUGGGAAACGAUGUGGGAAGGCCCAGACAGCCAGGAUGUUGGCUUAGAAGCAGCCAUCAUUUAAAGAAAGCGUAAUAGCUCACUGGUCGAGUCGGCCUGCGCGGAAGAUGUAACGGGGCUAAACCAUGCACCGAAGCUGCGGCAGCGACGCUGAUGCGUUGUUGGGUAGGGGAGCGUUCUGUAAGCCUGUGAAGGUGUGCUGUGAGGCAUGCUGGAGGUAUCAGAAGUGCGAAUGCUGACAUAAGUAACGAUAAAGCGGGUGAAAAGCCCGCUCGCCGGAAGACCAAGGGUUCCUGUCCAACGUUAAUCGGGGCAGGGUGAGUCGACCCCUAAGGCGAGGCCGAAAGGCGUAGUCGAUGGGAAACAGGUUAAUAUUCCUGUACUUGGUGUUACUGCGAAGGGGGGACGGAGAAGGCUAUGUUGGCCGGGCGACGGUUGUCCCGGUUUAAGCGUGUAGGCUGGUUUUCCAGGCAAAUCCGGAAAACUAAGGCUGAGGCGUGAUGACGAGGCACUACGGUGCUGAAGCAACAAAUGCCCUGCUUCCAGGAAAAGCCUCUAAGCAUCAGGUAACAUCAAAUCGUACCCCAAACCGACACAGGUGGUCAGGUAGAGAAUACCAAGGCGCUUGAGAGAACUCGGGUGAAGGAACUAGGCAAAAUGGUGCCGUAACUUCGGGAGAAGGCACGCUGAUAUGUAGGUGAAGUCCCUCGCGGAUGGAGCUGAAAUCAGUCGAAGAUACCAGCUGGCUGCAACUGUUUAUUAAAAACACAGCACUGUGCAAACACGAAAGUGGACGUAUACGGUGUGACGCCUGCCCGGUGCCGGAAGGUUAAUUGAUGGGGUCAGCGCAAGCGAAGCUCUUGAUCGAAGCCCCGGUAAACGGCGGCCGUAACUAUAACGGUCCUAAGGUAGCGAAAUUCCUUGUCGGGUAAGUUCCGACCUGCACGAAUGGCGUAAUGAUGGCCAGGCUGUCUCCACCCGAGACUCAGUGAAAUUGAACUCGCUGUGAAGAUGCAGUGUACCCGCGGCAAGACGGAAAGACCCCGUGAACCUUUACUAUAGCUUGACACUGAACAUUGAGCCUUGAUGUGUAGGAUAGGUGGGAGGCUUUGAAGUGUGGACGCCAGUCUGCAUGGAGCCGACCUUGAAAUACCACCCUUUAAUGUUUGAUGUUCUAACGUUGACCCGUAAUCCGGGUUGCGGACAGUGUCUGGUGGGUAGUUUGACUGGGGCGGUCUCCUCCUAAAGAGUAACGGAGGAGCACGAAGGUUGGCUAAUCCUGGUCGGACAUCAGGAGGUUAGUGCAAUGGCAUAAGCCAGCUUGACUGCGAGCGUGACGGCGCGAGCAGGUGCGAAAGCAGGUCAUAGUGAUCCGGUGGUUCUGAAUGGAAGGGCCAUCGCUCAACGGAUAAAAGGUACUCCGGGGAUAACAGGCUGAUACCGCCCAAGAGUUCAUAUCGACGGCGGUGUUUGGCACCUCGAUGUCGGCUCAUCACAUCCUGGGGCUGAAGUAGGUCCCAAGGGUAUGGCUGUUCGCCAUUUAAAGUGGUACGCGAGCUGGGUUUAGAACGUCGUGAGACAGUUCGGUCCCUAUCUGCCGUGGGCGCUGGAGAACUGAGGGGGGCUGCUCCUAGUACGAGAGGACCGGAGUGGACGCAUCACUGGUGUUCGGGUUGUCAUGCCAAUGGCACUGCCCGGUAGCUAAAUGCGGAAGAGAUAAGUGCUGAAAGCAUCUAAGCACGAAACUUGCCCCGAGAUGAGUUCUCCCUGACUCCUUGAGAGUCCUGAAGGAACGUUGAAGACGACGACGUUGAUAGGCCGGGUGUGUAAGCGCAGCGAUGCGUUGAGCUAACCGGUACUAAUGAACCGUGAGGCUUAACCUU
Molecule: ribosomal RNA, 2904 nt
Filed under: Escherichia coli
Lineage: Bacteria; Pseudomonadati; Pseudomonadota; Gammaproteobacteria; Enterobacterales; Enterobacteriaceae
Description: bacterial LSU rRNA
Rfam family: Bacterial large subunit ribosomal RNA
Source: RNAcentral